RNAcentral lists this long non-coding RNA (980 nucleotides) under Rattus norvegicus (Norway rat). Its description in RNAcentral is "long non-coding RNA NONRATT022184". The record is from RNAcentral. Lineage: Eukaryota; Metazoa; Chordata; Mammalia; Rodentia; Muridae.
UGUCCAGCUGGCUGGAGAUGACAUGGAGGUCAACACCACAGAACUCAUGAGUAUCCUCAACAGGUCGUGACCAGACACCCGAUCUGAAAACUGAUGGGUUUGGCAUUGACACUUGUCAGAGCAUGGUGGCUGUUAUGGAUAGUGACACCACAGGCAAGCUGGGCUUUGAGGAAUUCAAGUACCUCUGGAACAAGAUUAAAAUGUGGCGGGAUAUAUAUAAACGCUUUGAUGCUGACUGAUCAGGGACCAUUGAUAGCCAUGAACUCCCAGGGGCCUUUGAGGCAGCAGGAUUCCACCUGAAUGAGCACCUCUAGGACAUGGUCAUGGUCUUCCGCCGCUAGUCAGAUGGGAGCGGGAAUAUAGAUUUCGAUAACUUCAUCAGCUGCUUGGUCAGACUGGAUGCCAUGUUCCGUGCUUUCAAGUCUCUUGACAAAAAUGGCACUGGACAGAUCCAAGCGAACAUCCAGGAGUGGUGGCAGCUGACUACGUAUUCCUGAAUGGGAGUCACAGACCUGCCCCCUCACAGCUCACUAUGGAGUCACCUUGAACUUGAUCCUGUCUGCAGCCACAUUUUUAUGGUCAUGUCAAGAGGCUACCCAGAGGCGCUUCUUUUCCCAAUUCUGGUACUCAGCUUCUAGUCAGCAGCCAGAGCUCAACAUGCCCCAGCUUGCUGCACCCUGAGUUACCCCAGGCUCUGAGACAAGCUAGCUUGUACUGCUGAAGGGUCUCUCCACCCUAGAACACCCAAUCCACACCCUCUGUGACCUCCAUCCUGCCUGUGUGCCAAGCCUAGCACUCCUGUUGCUUCCAUGUCCCAAGGGCCCUGUUUUAGUUCUGGGAGAAUCAUGCCAGUCCCUACACACCCUUUAUACACUCACACAGUGACCUCCCAGGCAGCUAAGUAAACUCCGGGCCAUCCGAGUGCACACACCAAAGCAAACAAACAAACAAACCAACAAACAAACAAACGAACAAAGUUA